GACGGUACCACUACGAGAAAGACUACCGGCUAACUUCGUGCCAGCAGCCGCGGUAAUACGAGGGGAGCAAGCGUUAUUCGGAAUUACUGGGCGUAAAGGGCGUGUAGGCGGCAACUUAAGUCGUGUGUUAAAGACCGGUGCAUACCACCGGAGCGGCAUGCGAAACUGGGUUGCUAGAGUGUAAGAGAGAGGAGUGGAAUUCUUGGAGUAGCGGUAGAAUGCGUAGAUCUCAAGAGGAACACCGAUGGCGAAGGCAGCUCCUUGGCUUACAACUGACGCUGAGACGCGAAAGCGUGGGGAGCAAACAGGAUUAGAUACCCUGGUAG
This 326-nucleotide ribosomal RNA is filed under the name uncultured bacterium. RNAcentral's name for it is "bacterial SSU rRNA". It matches the Rfam family "Bacterial small subunit ribosomal RNA", at positions 471 to 793 of the family's 1533-position model. The record is from RNAcentral.